Molecule: ribosomal RNA, 98 nt
Filed under: Gymnopilus hispidus
Lineage: Eukaryota; Fungi; Basidiomycota; Agaricomycetes; Agaricales; Galerinaceae
Description: partial 28S ribosomal RNA
Rfam family: Eukaryotic large subunit ribosomal RNA (bases 43-98)
Source: RNAcentral
AUGUGCUGCUUCUAUUCGUCCUCAGGACAAUUAUUGACCAUUUGACCUCAAAUCAGGUAGGACUACCCGCUGAACUUAAGCAUAUCAAUAAGCGGAGG